Molecule: ribosomal RNA, 458 nt
Filed under: uncultured bacterium
Lineage: Bacteria
Description: bacterial SSU rRNA
Rfam family: Bacterial small subunit ribosomal RNA
Source: RNAcentral
UACGGAAGGCAGCAGUGGGGAAUAUUGCACAAUGGGCGAAAGCCUGAUGCAGCUAUGCCGCGUGUAUGAAGAAGGCCUUAGGGUUGUAAAGUACUUUCAUCGGGGAGGAAAAAACAAAACUAAUAAUUUUAUUUCUUGACGUUACCCGAAAAAGAAGCACCGGCUAACUCCGUGCCAGCAGCCGCGGUAAUACGGAGGGUGCUAGCGUUAAUCAGAAUUACUGGGCGUAAAGAGCACGUAGGUGGUUUUUUUAAGUCAGAUGUGAAAUCCCUGGGCUUAACCUAGGAACUGCAUUUUGAAACUGAAAUACUAGAGUAUCGUAGAGGGAGGUAGAAUUCUAGGUGUAGCGGUGAAAUGCGUAGAUAUCUGGAGGAAUACCUGUGGCGAAAGCGGCCUCCUAAACGAAUACUGACACUGAGGUGCGAAAGCGUGGGGAGCAAAACGAGGGAUUAGAUACC